This 231-nucleotide ribosomal RNA is filed under the name uncultured Hyphomicrobiales bacterium. Its description in RNAcentral is "uncultured Rhizobiales bacterium partial 16S ribosomal RNA". It matches the Rfam family "Bacterial small subunit ribosomal RNA", at positions 97 to 345 of the family's 1533-position model. The record is from RNAcentral. Lineage: Bacteria; Pseudomonadati; Pseudomonadota; Alphaproteobacteria; Hyphomicrobiales.
GGCAGACGGGUGAGUAAUGUAUAGGAAUCUACCUAGUAGUACGGAAUAAUUGUUGGAAACGGCAACUAAUACCGUAUACGCCCUACGGGGGAAAAAUUUAUUGCUAUUAGAUGAGCCUAUAUUAGAUUAGUUAGUUGGUGAGGUAAAGGCUUACCAAGACAAUGAUCUAUAGCUGAUCUGAGAGGAUGAUCAGCCACACUGGAACUGAGAUACGGUCCAGACUCCUACGGG